CAGUAUUUAGUUUAAUUUAAAAUAUAAUAUUUGGGUUAUUAUGAUAAUUUACUGA
RNAcentral lists this transfer RNA (55 nucleotides) under Cooperia oncophora. RNAcentral's name for it is "tRNA-Pro". Lineage: Eukaryota; Metazoa; Nematoda; Chromadorea; Rhabditida; Trichostrongylidae. The record is from RNAcentral.